RNAcentral lists this ribosomal RNA (322 nucleotides) under uncultured Bacillota bacterium. Its description in RNAcentral is "bacterial SSU rRNA". It matches the Rfam family "Bacterial small subunit ribosomal RNA", at positions 28 to 351 of the family's 1533-position model. The record is from RNAcentral. Lineage: Bacteria; Bacillati; Bacillota.
GACGAACGCUGGCGGCGUGCCUAACACAUGCAAGUCGAACGGAGUUGUACCUUCGGGUAUGGCUUAGUGGCGGACGGGUGAGUAACGCGUGAGCAACCUGCCUUUCAGAGGGGGACAACAGCUGGAAACGGCUGCUAAUACCGCAUAACGUAUAAUUUUCGCAUGAAUGUUAUACCAAAGAUUUAUCGCUGAAAGAUGGGCUCGCGUCUGAUUAGCUAGUUGGUGAGGUAAUGGCUCACCAAGGCUUCGAUCAGUAGCCGGACUGAGAGGUUGAACGGCCACAUUGGGACUGAGAUACGGCCCAGACUCCUACGGGAGGCUG